Molecule: ribosomal RNA, 498 nt
Filed under: uncultured bacterium
Lineage: Bacteria
Description: partial 16S ribosomal RNA
Rfam family: Bacterial small subunit ribosomal RNA
Source: RNAcentral
AUUGAACGCUGGCGGCAUGCUUUACACAUGCAAGUCGAACGGUAACAGGCCGCAAGGUGCUGACGAGUGGCGAACGGGUGAGUAAUGCAUCGGAACGUGCCCAGUCGUGGGGGAUAACGCAGCGAAAGCUGUGCUAAUACCGCAUACGAUCUAUGGAUGAAAGCGGGGGACCGUAAGGCCUCGCGCGAUUGGAGCGGCCGAUGUCAGAUUAGGUAGUUGGUGGGGUAAAGGCUCACCAAGCCAAUGAUCUGUAGCUGGUCUGAGAGGACGACCAGCCACACUGGGACUGAGACACGGCCCAGACUCCUACGGGAGGCAGCAGUGGGGAAUUUUGGACAAUGGGCGCAAGCCUGAUCCAGCAAUGCCGCGUGCAGGAAGAAGGCCUUCGGGUUGUAAACUGCUUUUGUACGGAACGAAACGGUCUGGGUUAAUACCCUGGGCUAAUGACGGUACCGUAAGAAUAAGCACCGGCUAACUACGUGCCAGCCGCCGCCGUAA